ACUUAGAUAGUUUAAUUGGUUAAAACAACUGUCUCAUAUAUAGUUAAUAUAGGUUCAAUCCCUAUUCUAAGUA
Molecule: transfer RNA, 73 nt
Filed under: Groenewaldozyma salmanticensis
Lineage: Eukaryota; Fungi; Ascomycota; Dipodascomycetes; Dipodascales; Trichomonascaceae
Description: tRNA-Met
Rfam family: tRNA
About the family: Transfer RNA (tRNA) molecules are approximately 80 nucleotides in length. Their secondary structure includes four short double-helical elements and three loops (D, anti-codon, and T loops).
Source: RNAcentral